Molecule: small RNA, 6891 nt
Filed under: Daphnia magna
Lineage: Eukaryota; Metazoa; Arthropoda; Branchiopoda; Diplostraca; Daphniidae
Description: uncharacterized LOC116931958, transcript variant X3
Source: RNAcentral
CGCCAUUAUUGCGAAUUUUUACGAAAGCCAGAUUGUGACAAGGUAAGGUUCUAUUUCUUUUUCUUCUUUUGGACCAGGUUUUUCAUAAAAAUUUUUCUCAUUUCAUCCUUAUCAAAUCCAACAGUCGAAUGUUUAAUAAUGAAUGCAGGUGUUGUAAAUGUAAAAAGCGAAAGUCCCAGAGUUUAUCCAAUCCACGUGGUUUGAUACUGCGACGGCAAUUUUGAAGGAAAAUGUCUGUUUGACAAACUAUUUUGUCACGUUUGUCUAAUUAGUUAUUAGUAGACUUGAAUGAAUUUUUAAAGAAACUUGUCAGGCAUACAAAGUACGUGUUCUCUUCUUUAGAAGUUAUUCGAAAUCGAUGAAAAUUUCCAAAUGAUACAGCCUACAAAGUUGACAAGAUAAAAAUUCAACCGCUGACAUCAAUGUAUUUUUCCUCUUCCUUCCACAACUACGUUGCUUUUAGCGAGACCCGUAAAUGUAUUCAGUGACGGUGUUCAAUUCAAUGCUUCAUUCAAGGUAAACCUUUUUUUUUUCUUAAUUCUUGGAAAUUAUGUGUUUCAUGUAGAAUUUAAACAUUUUGUGCAUUAGACUAGUGAAAUAUUAGUAGGGUUUCUGAGAUGACAACAUGCAAGGAUGACUAUUUUUAUUCGAUGUGGAUAUUAAUAAUAUUCCGUGUCAUCCAAUUGGAUAGCAUUUGCUCUUUUGUUUUGCAGCCUUGCUACGAUAUUUUCCAGCAACUUCGUGUUGGUAUUUAAAGGGCGUGGAUGAUUGCUGGGUGCUUUCCCAUAAGCUGAAUGUUUGUUUUCUUUAGAUACCAUUGACCUCUUUCGACCGCAACCUGAAAAAACAUUUGCAAUUUAUUUCUGUACUAAUGAACAAUCAAGUAUGCCAGUGACGCUGAAGUCUCUGACAUAGGACAAAUAAGAAUAUUUCUGUAAACAAGACCAAGUACGGUUACAGACGGCAGCAGAUGGCAAAGGUAAAGGUUUGCAUAAUUUUUUUUACAUUAAGGAACAUGCUAUUGUAAUUUAUUGUGCCAUACCUGCAAAAGCAUUGCAAAAUGGUCUUUUUUCUUUGUAUGACCAUUGUUCCACAUCUUCUAUCGAAUCAGAAUCAUUCUGGUUUGCCGUUAGUGGCUGCGACAAUGAAUUUGAAACGUAAAGACUGAUGACCAACCAGGCCAGUACUACCAAGCUGUAGAACAGCGGUCUCGUCAUACCUGCUACAGACAUUCUACUGAUUAUUUUAGAAAUGACAUAUGGUAUACAGUACAUGCUACAGCCAUGGGAAAGUUCGUUAAUUUCAAAGAAGGAAACGUUCUUCGUUAAUUUAACCUAUGACCAUUUGCUAAUAUUGAUCGCCGAUGACGGGAAACACGGCGUAAUGCUCUUAACGAGAAACAGUUUUUCACAAGGUAUAUUAUCUUGCAUAACUUACCUGAUUCGAAGUUGACUGAUUACAAAAAGGAGAAAUAGGAUAUGAGCUGAAAUCUGGAUUCGUUCACUUUCAAAAUCAGAAUUUCCAUCCAAAUUGCUAGAAAAUGUGUUGGACUCAGUACGGGAAGUAGUUGGUGACGAAAGUCUUGCUUCGUGAAUAACCUUAUAAGAGGUAUUAGAACAGUUUUUAUAUGUGUUCGAGGCUCCGCCCUGCCUAGCCGGUUCCCUACUCUUCUACCAAAUGCCAAUGCUCUUCUUUCUGCAACAUCACAUUUCAACAAUCAUUUUUGUGCAUUCACAUGCCGAGCAACGAGGAGAGUGACAGAAAAAUUUCCAGAUUAAUUUUUAAGCUUUAAGUUCUGGCAGCUGAUAACCAAAUUAUCGAAUUAAGAAUUAUUAUCGUCUGGUUCAAUCCUCCUUUUGAUGCUUAGGUUACUUUGUGCACACCAAACUAUUGUUUGGAUGUGAUCCAUACUUCUUUUAAUGUUACUUGGGGAACGGUUGUUUUCAAAAGGACUUCAUUCAGUUCCAAAUUUUCCAUCCGCUGAUCGAGAUAACGAAUAUGAUUCGAAUCAGGUUUUUGUACAAUAAAGAGGCUGUCGAAUUUUCAUCGACAAUCGGCACAUGAGCGGAUGAGCCAAAGUUUAGUUCGAUUUCACAAAAUUAAGGAUAUACUUCUUUACGCCUCAUCCCGACCCAACGUUCUCACAUAAAUUUUUCUCUCAUUUAACUAUACACAUUUCUUAGCCUUAAAAAAAAAGCGACACAUACGUUGCUGUUAGAACAACACAAACGUUCUUGUUCUAACAAAGCAAUAGCAAACCUCUUACUUAGAAAUCCAUUACUUAAUAAUCAGCAGGGUUCCUCUCUCACCCAAAACCUCUGUAGUGGGGCUGCGCGUAACGUUAUGACCACUUUAGCGUUAAACUGAUGCACUAAUAACACCCGUCGCGGGAUAUCCAUUUCUUCCAUUUACUACUUGUGCAUUUUCCCUGAUGAUGUGUAGUCCAAUGACAUGCUGGGGAGCAUAAUGAGCAGUAGCUUCUACUGUAGACCGUUAUGGUGGCGUACGUAAACCAGACAUGGGAGUUUGAUUACUGAUUGUAAUAAAAACAAUGCUGAUAAAAAAAAAUGUAAAUGCUUCCGAUUCUUACUACUACAAAAACAAGGGCGAAUAUGAUCCAAUAGUGAUGAAAACUACUUUUCCUCCCUGUAAUGUUAGAAAGGAUAAAGAUAGACGUUUAGGAAUUUCCGAUAGGGAUUCUUGCAAAACUACAUGUCUCACUAGUUUCCCGAUAGGGAUUCUUGCAAAACGGAAUUCCUCCUCAUUUCAUCUCAACCAACCCACGUUUUUUCUAAGAUUUUUCCCGAUAGAUGGCGCCAUUUUCGAAAAGGGUACUCCAUUAAUCUUUUAUAUCUUAUCUUCCCAAGUUAGAACGUGGUUAUUGUAUCGUCUUGUAAAGCAGAUAUCGCUGAAGUUAAUGACGAGUACCCCGUAAUUUUAGGCUGAACGGUGAGAGAUUGCCGAGCAAUUUAGAAGGCCGACCCGAGUUUUGGAUAUAUAAUUUUUUACGAUAGAUGGCGUUGAGACGAAAAAUUACGAAAACAAGGCGAAAUCAGGCCGCGAACUUACUAUUGAAGGCCGGGCUUCCGGAGUCGCCUAGCAACAGACUUCAUUUCGUUUAGGUUAGGUCGUUGUGUUUGUGUUUCGUUAAUCCCGUUGCUUUGCCGCGUGUGGAACUUAUUCAUCGCUUUGGUGUUGAGCGGGGAGCUAUUAAUGUUAUUCUGGGGCAUAUUCAACUGAAUGGCUUUGUUGGAGAGGUGUUAAGUGGGGUGCUAAUAAAUAUUCAGUGCGUUCCGUUUUCAACAUCUUUUGGCUACGCGUUACUCGUUAAGUUAAUACAAUGAAAAUUUGCCAUUUUUUCGUACCAACCUGAACGACAAUCUUUUUCACGACGCACGAUUGUUUGAAGAUUGAUUUUCACUAUACGUCAUCAUUUGAAUGGUGCAGUUUCUAGCCGCAGCUCUGCAGUGUGCAAAAAUUGGAGGUGGCAAAAAUCUGCUUGUGGUGCUGAUCUGCAAAUUGCUGGCUUCAUGAAAGUAAUCUUGAAAUGACCUAUCAACAGACUACUGCAGUAUUAAAAUACUCUAACCCUCAAGGAAAUUUGCAGCUGUGGACUUUCUUUAGAUGACUCUUGUAUCAGAAAUAUUUUCCUUCUUUUUGGAACAAGUAACAUAGGAUGUCUUGAUGCCAACAAAGUGUGAUUGGAAAGAUUGUAAAAAGAUAUUAAGGAGAAACCUAAAGUUGGAGGACGAUACAUUUGUUUCCCAUUACUAGUUUUGUAAAACAAAUGAUUGAUUCCACAAUCUGCAACUUCUCAGGCAGACACCCAUCCACAAAGCCAUGGGCAAUCCAUACAGGGUAACGACUCGUCGUGAGUGCAGACCAUCCAUAUUGAUAACGGUUUCCUGCGUAAAGAUGAAUCCGUGUAGGUCGUCAAUAGUAUACAGCCAUACGGGAUCAUUUACGCCGAACAACUGUUCAUGGAAGAUGAUUUCGGUGAGACGCAAGUGCUGAUCGUUUGGUGGUCGAUUACGCCAACAUGGCAGCCAAGGAACAUGCCUUGCUCAAUCGGAUUGAAAUCGCGAUGUCGGAAGAAGAGCGUCUUCUUCUGGAAGAACUGUCCAUUCGCAACCAUUAUGUUGCCACGCUACUGCCUAUUCGCAUUGUCGGUGUUCAGGGAGAUGGAGAUUGCCGAACUUAUAUUCCUGGCACCUAUUUACCUGAAGAGGUUGUAGACAAGAUGGUUGAAGCCGUCUUAACUGUUCCAGGUACCUGACGGCGAAACCACUCCGGGAGAACGGAGUGGGAAUGAUUUGAUUUACGAACGUUGAGUGCAGUUGUUUUUCGUCUAACAAAUUAACAUUGUUAAUGUGCAGCUAGAUGGGUUGUUGUUGCUCUCCCUUGUAAAUCUACCCUUUUUCGCCCAAUUGUUAAUAUGAUUCUUUUGGGAACGUUCCGGUGUCUCCCAAAAACAAGUGGAAGACCAUUCGAGGCGUUAUGCCAUUUCCUGAAAUUGAACAUUUAGAAAAUGUGGUAUAUGUUUGCCAAUUGUUUAGAUCUAUUCAGAGUGGUACCAUAAAGUAUGACUGUAGGAAAGGGUACAUAGGCUUCUAAAAGUGAAGAACAGCUCUGACGUCUUUGGUAAGCGGAAAAGGUACUGCAAAGAGAAGCGUCACAUGACGAUUUUAAGGAUGGACCCUUUCGUUUGCUUUGCCUAAUGAAUUUAUGCUUGGAACUGACAGGUGGCGUUUAGCAGUGGCACCCAAUCUUUGUUCUUAAAAGCCAGAGGUGUUCUUCACGUUUCAGGGGGAUUGAUUGAUGAUACUUGUUGGUUAAACCAUGAAGAAUACCAAUAGAUGGAUAAGUGGAGGGUGAGCAGACGAACCAUUGAAAGAGUCCUGCACAGUCUAGCUGCAUCCAGGCAGAUACUAGUAGAACCCGAAACAUUGUUUUGACAACUUCUGUCAUUUUUCGGUUGCAGGUUUUCACUAAAUAUUAAUUAAGUAAGGGGUUUAAUCGUGUUAUAUGUAGGAUUUUUCGAUUCAAGUCUAUUUAGGUGUCAGAACUGGAAUUGUAAGUUCAGAAUUUUUAAAACACCGCACAGCUUUUAUUAACAAUAUUUUGUUUUUUCAACUAUCAAAAUCUUGUAAAUCAUUUAAAGGAGAACAGAGCUCUUUGUUAAAUUUCCGAAAUUUCGACUUCCGGUUUUGCUUCCGGUUUUAAAAUGUUAAAUAACUCUUUAUUUGUUGGUUUGUCAGAAAAAAGAUUUACAUUUUCGUGAUACUCAUCAAAUUUGGGGUAGACUCCAUGUGUCAGCUUAAAAUACCCGAAAAUCGUCAAAAAUCGCAAAUUUUUCUGAACAUGAAAAAUCGCGUUUUUGGUCAAAUCCGACUUUUGGCUAAAAACACGUCAUUCCGACCCCAAAUUUGAUAAUAAUCACGAAAAUCCUAUUCGUUUUGUUAUAGGAGCCCUAUUUCCGGAGAUAUUUGAUACUCCCUGUUACUUCCGGUAAAUUUUCGUGACAAUCUGCGAAAAGUAAAAAAUUUGCUGUAUUGUUCUAACAAUUUCAAAUACUUUUCUCGCAUGCGUUAGGGUGUGGUAGCUAUUAUUCCGUGUUUUUCUUGCUUUCAACACUACAGACUGAUCCUACCAGCUACGACAAGUUUUACCUACAAAUUUUUUGCGUUUCAUGCUGCAACUAGUAGUUGAUAUCCUAGGAUGUUAUGCCUAAAAUUGGAAUUCAGCUAUCAGAGAUUUGCAAAAGCAAAGCACUUAACAGCAAAUAUUGUACUUAUUUCAACAUUCAAAAUAAAAUAAAAUUUUGUGUUCUAGGCAGAAACUCUAGAUGGCGUUAAUGUGUGUAUGAUGAAGAUUACGAGUGACAAGUUAAAUUGUCUGUUUUGUGUUUCAAAGGAUUUUUCAUAAAAAAAUUUCAGAUUGCUUUUUGUAUGUGGUGGUGUUUCACCUUGACAGCUGCCGAACCAGCAGGCAGCAGCCUACAUUCCUGUCAUCAAUGUACCACAAGGGAUUCUGACACUUUAAGAAGGCUACUAUUCCUCACAUGAAGAUCGCCAUCCAGUUCAAGUACUGUUAAUGGACCUCAAGCCUUUUGUUUAAGCUUAGUGAUGUGUUCUUUCAUCAGUCAACCACAGAGUCUUCAUCUACUUUGUGUUGCUAAUCAUCAGCCCUCAGCAUCACAGAAGAUUGUCAUUGCUAGUCCUGCUGUUCUUCUCUCCGUUACUUAGCCAGCUAACAUGGAUAGGCUUUAACACCAACUCCAUUUUUUUGGAUUGCAAAUGUUCAUCUUCCUUCGGUAUAACACUGUCGUUUCGACACUUUUUGUAGUUUCGCCCCCAGUGGACCACGCAACUACAUUUUCUUCAUCUUCCUUUCGUUGUCUACGCCUUCACCUCAUCGCUGUCUUCGUCGACGUCUUCACCUUCAUCUCCGUCUCCUCGUCGUCUUGGCCGUCUUCGCCUUCAUCUCCGUCUCGUCGUCGUCUUGGCCGUCUUCGCCUUCAUCUCCGUCUCGUCGUCGUCUUGGCCGUCUUCGCCUUCAUCUCUGUCUCGUCGUCGUCUUGGCCGUCUUCGCCGUCUUCGCCUUUAUGUCCGUCUCGUCGUCGUCUUGGCCGUCUUCGUCCACGCCAUCACCGUCCACGCCAUCACCGUCUUUGUCCACGCCAUCAUCUCGUCGCCGGCUUCGUCUUCGCCCUCUUCGCCCUUCACCUUCGCCCUUCACGUAGGGAGUUCAGCGUGGAUCGUCGCCAUGGUAUUGUUUUGUUUUGCAUUGUAAUGUUUAAGUUAACCCGUUGGCUGCCACCCCGUUUGCGUCCCAUUUUUUUUGUAGCUUGUAGGGACCGGCCGCAAUGGCCUUCGCCGCAAGGCGCCUUAG